AAAGGAAUAGACGGGGGCCCGCACAAGCGGAGGAGCAUGUGGUUUAAUUCGAUGGUACGCGAGGAACCUUACCUGGGUUAGAACGUAUGAGCGAUGCAGCUGAAAGGUUGCAGGCCUGCGAAGGAGUUCAUACGAGGUGCUGCAUGGUUGUCGUCAGCUCGUGCCGUGAGGUGUUUGGUUAAGUCCAGCAACGAGCGCAACCCCUACCUUUAGUUGCCAUCAGGUAAAGCUGGGGACACUAGAGGGACUGCCUGCGCAAGCAGUGAGGAAGGUGGGGAUGACGUCAAAUCAGCACGGCCCUUAUGUCCAGGGCUACACACGUGCUACAAUGGUAACUACAGAGGGCAGCGACUAGGCGACUAGGAGCGAAUCUCGAAAAGUUAUCGUAGUUCGGAUUGGAGUCUGCAACUCGACUCCAUGAAGAUGGAUUCGCUAGUAAUCGCGCAUCAGCAAUGGCGCGGUGAAUACGUUCCCGGGCCUUGUACACACCGCCCGU
RNAcentral lists this ribosomal RNA (496 nucleotides) under uncultured bacterium. Its description in RNAcentral is "bacterial SSU rRNA". It matches the Rfam family "Bacterial small subunit ribosomal RNA", at positions 903 to 1397 of the family's 1533-position model. The record is from RNAcentral.